This 465-nucleotide ribosomal RNA is filed under the name uncultured bacterium. Its description in RNAcentral is "partial 16S ribosomal RNA". It matches the Rfam family "Bacterial small subunit ribosomal RNA", at positions 338 to 795 of the family's 1533-position model. The record is from RNAcentral.
CCUACGGGUGGCAGCAGUGGGGAAUAUUGCGCAAUGGGCGAAAGCCUGACGCAGCGACGCCGCGUGAGGGAUGAAGGUCUUCGGAUCGUAAACCUCUGUCAGCAGGGAAGAACGGUCACUGUGCUAAUCAGCAGUGAAUUGACGGUACCUGCAAAGGACGCACCGGCUAACUCCGUGCCAGCAGCCGCGGUAAUCAGGAGGAUGCGAGCGUUAAUCGGAAUGACUGGGCGUAAAGCGCUCGUAGGCGGUAUGUCAAGUCAAGGGUGAAAUCCCCGCGCUCAACGUGGGAACUGCCUUUGAAACUGGCAAACUAGAGUGUGGGAGAGGAAGGUGGAAUGCCAGGUGUAGGAGUGAAAUCCGUAGAUAUCUGGAGGAACAUCAGUUGCGAAGGCGACUAUCUGGCACAUAACUGACGCUGAGGAGCGAAAGCGUGGGUAGCAAACAGGAUUAGAUACCAUGGUAGUC